Molecule: ribosomal RNA, 247 nt
Filed under: uncultured archaeon
Lineage: Archaea
Description: partial 16S ribosomal RNA
Rfam family: Archaeal small subunit ribosomal RNA
Source: RNAcentral
CCGACGGUGAGAGGUGAAAGCUGGGGGAGCAAACCGGAUUAGAUACCCGGGUAGUCCCAGCUGUAAACGAUGCGCGUUAGGUGUGUCAGUGACCACGUGUCACUGAGAUGCCGAAGGGAAACCGUGAAACGCGCCGCCUGGGGAGUACGGUCGCAAGGCUGAAACUUAAGGAAUUGGCGGGGGAGCACCACAACGGGUGGAGCCUGCGGUUUAAUCGGACUCAACGCCGGAAAUCUCACCGGAUAAG